ACGGAAGGUCCGGGCGUUAUCCGGAUUUAUUGGGUUUAAAGGGAGCGUAGGCCGCCAGGUAAGCGUGUUGUGAAAUGUACCGGCUCAACCGGUGAAUUGCAGCGCGAACUGUCUGGCUUGAGUGCACGGUAAGCAGGCGGAAUUCAUGGUGUAGCGGUGAAAUGCUUAGAUAUCAUGAAGAACUCCGAUUGCGAAGGCAGCUUGCUGCAGUGCGACUGACGCUGAUGCUCGAAGGUGCGGGUAUCAAACAG
Molecule: ribosomal RNA, 251 nt
Filed under: uncultured bacterium
Lineage: Bacteria
Description: partial 16S ribosomal RNA
Rfam family: Bacterial small subunit ribosomal RNA
Source: RNAcentral